UGAGAUCAAAGAAGAGUGGUCGUGCCGUAAAAAGAUAUUCAAGGCCCGAUCCAAGCUACUUUUAACCUGUAGCCCACAUGGCCAAGAAGAAGGAGAGAAAAAGCAGCCUGCACGCAUAAGGAGGCUUGUGAUGGAGGAAUCCAAUAGUGAAGAGGAAGAAAAAGCUUUCAUAUUUAGCAAGGAGGUAGAACAAAGAAACUGAG
Molecule: long non-coding RNA, 203 nt
Filed under: Carica papaya (papaya)
Lineage: Eukaryota; Viridiplantae; Streptophyta; Magnoliopsida; Brassicales; Caricaceae
Description: long non-coding RNA (CPAP_LNC011840)
Source: RNAcentral